CCCAGUUCAGCCAGAGGGGGUCAAGAUCUGAAAUCUGCCUCACUUUUAACCUAUAUUUAAAAUCAGUGUAGUUUGACUUGUGCUCACAGGCACAUGCAUAAAAUCACUUCUGUGACGCCCCCAAAUUCGGGUACUUGAAACCCUUAUUCAGUGCUCACGAUAUAAAACAUUCAGAAUAUAAUAAACAUAAUCUUAGUAAAGUUAUUACAUCAAAGUUCUUCAAAUCCCAGGUACGUAGACCUUUAAAUGUUCAUUUCAUGAAUUUAAUAUUUACAAACAUGUAAAUUAUCUAUUACAUCAACUUCCAGCUAUUCUAUUACUUUUCUUUUUCCCUUGUCCUUUCCAGACCCUUCUGCACGAGCCUGCUCAGCUGAAAACAUUUUUAACAAAGCAAGUAUGAGCAUUUAAUUGCUCAGCAAGUAAUAGCAUUCUUUAAGGCUCAACAAGAAAUAAAUGUUUUCUUUGAAGCAUGCUUUGACAGUGAAUCAAAACUGUAAAGCAAUAAAUCUUGAACCAUUCACAGUUCUAAAAUAUCAUAACAACAUUGAAUAACUGAGAGGUUUUAAGACCAUGAACAUAUUUUUCUUUUCUUGAAAAGUUCAAUCAGAAAUUUUAUCAGAUGAACCGUCUUAACUUACUAGCACGUAAGGUGAUCAGCCCUUUAUGCCCUGUAUUGAUCAAUACUAUCUUUUCCAGAACAAUUUUCAUGUUCUACAUCACCACUCCCAGAGUGCAAUAAAAAUAUCUCAUUUAAGGGUAUGUUCAUCCUCAGUUUUAGAUUCCAACUACAACAAUAUAGCUGGACAGCUUAAAUCAUGGCACAAUAAUAUUUCAAGACUUAAUAUAAAGAAAUUGAAAUAUUUCAUAGCUUUGUGUGGCCAGAAGGAAUGGCUCAGACUUCUUUGCAACCUGCUCAUGCAUAAGAUAAUAGCUUACCCAAUCUUUUGAAGCUGAUUGGAAUAAAAAGAUUAUUCAAUCUUACAAUAUUCAUAAAUAAUGAAAGAUAGUUCAGAAAUUAGAGAACAUGUCAACAUAUGAAUAAUCUCAAAAUACUUGCUCAAUAAAGAGUAAGAUUUAGAUACUUGCCUUGAUCGUAGACUAUUGAUACAAUUUUAGCUUACUUUGUUCUCACAUAUCCUACACAAUUAUUUGCAUUCACAAACAUAUUAGCCAAUUAGCCAAGUCAUAUAACUUGCAUAUUCACAUAUCACAUAGUCACGGUGAUCAUGUUUUUAGUUUAUACUCCCAUACUUGAGAUAUUUCUUUACAUUUUUCAAAUAUCUCAUCCAUGUUCUUAUAACAACCAUUUCUUUCUUUUAUAGGGUUUAACAUAAUUUAUGUUCAUGAACUUUUCAUGAUUUUAGUUCAUACUCCUUUUACUUCUUUUGGUUUGCCAUAAAUAUAGCAAUCUUCUUUAUAACUUAGGUAUUCAAGGUGAAUACGUAAGGUAUUUCAUAUAUUAAGUAUAAUUGUUUAUCAUAAAGGUAAAACUUUAGUUUCCAAUUUGCUUUGAUUCUCUCUAUCUUUACUUUUCUUGUCUUAUAGAUUCAUUCGUAACAACUAGUGUGCUAGGGCUAUCAUGAUUUAAGACUAUAUCAAAAUAGUCUCUUUCUAUGAUCCUUUAUGUUUUGAGAUAUUCACAACUUGGUUGAGUAAUUUAUAGUUCUCAUAACACUUUGUAACUUUAUCUUUAUAUACAAAAGUGUAACUUUCUUGUUUUUCUUCUCCAUGCAUCUUGACCCACUGUGUGGCAAUCAAGCUUUGCUUGGCCUUGUGGGGCUUAGUCAAGCUUGGGAUGGCCAUAUUUGGCCUUAUUGCCCCAAUUACAUCAUAGCAGUCCCUAGCAUACAAUGUCUCUUCAUAUAAUUUUUUUUUCUUUUACAUUACCUGACUAAUUGAGUUUUCAUUAUAUGCAUGUGUAUUUAGGAGGUUCUAAAUCCAACUCCGUGAUUUUAUCUUCAACUUACAUUAUAGGGUUAGUAGGAUACUCCCAAAACUGCUAUGACAGUUUGUUACUAUCAGUUGCUACUGCCUAAAGGCAGCAGCUCCUGCUUUUUAUCCUUUAUGCUAACAACCAUAUAUAUAUGACUUUAUGGAGUUCAAUUGGUUUAUUGUGGCUUUAGUUGACUCAGCUCCAACUGAGUUUAUCCAGCUUUAUACUACAUUAGUAGUUAGCUAAAGCUAUUUACUAGUGCUAACUGACAGCAUCCCUUACCCCUCCUUUGAACAAAAUUUAAUCUCGAGACAGCUAACAAGUUGGAGUGACAUAUAAAUUAUACAAACUCACAAUAUUUGUUAACUUAAGACAAAUUUCAAGAGAUACCUAGCUACUUACUGCUGUUGGUAACAGCGACUGCCAUUGGGCAGUAGCUUAUUCUCUUGAUCCCAAACUUUCUACACUUUAGUUAUCUUCACUUACUAACUGUAGCCAAAAUAAAUCAAACCCAGUUGUCAAAUUGGUCCUGCAGCUACUUGUUAUUGCCAAAAGACAGCAGUUGCUGUUUGUUGCUGGUACGGACUACUAUAGCUGCCAUUUACUGCUACUUGCUGCUAUCUUUAGGUAGCAGUCCUUGCUCCUUAUUUGUGUAAUUUUAGACCCCAAUUUACUAAUGACUCUUGACAUGCUAUAAGUGAUGGAACCAAACUGGUUUGUUUGAGUCUGCACUAGCAGCUACCUGUGGCUACCUGUUGCUGCAAUUUAGUAGCUGCCCCUUAACCCAUGCCCAGCAAUCCCUUAGCCUCCCCUUUGCCAGAUUUUUAACCAUAGAUCUCCAAGUUACUUAUUCUCUCACUCUAGAAUUUUAAAGCUAUCUAAGUGGCUUAUCAAAAGUGGUACUAAACUUGAAUCCAUUGCUUAACCAUUGCCCAACACAGAGGCCCAAAGGACUUGACAUGAUAAAGUUUCCAACUGCUAGACUUAGCCUAAAAACAACUGCACUGUGUUUAAGUUUAAUAUGCUAAAACACUUUACUUAAAAUCAAAUGAACUACAACAAUCAAUCCCCAGCCUUGUAUUUGCCUAAUAACUGACUUUUAUUCAAAACAGUCCACUUGGGACUUUUGUCAAACAUGUGGGGUGCACAGUUUCAAUUUACCCUUUUCAUGGCCAUUGGUUUAUAUCAUAAACCUAUAUUUAUCCUCCUUAUUACUCCACAGCCCAACCUAUCUCCUCUAGCUAUAUAUCAAACAAUAGCAGUCCAAAACAUAGACAAAGCAUGAAGAUUCAAGCAAUUAGUAAAGUAACAAUUUUUUUUUUACAACUAACUGUUCUAUUCUAAUGCUCAAUGCCCCAUCCUGCUUGAACAAUUAGAACAACAAUAAGCAACUAGUUGGUUUAUAUACUUUCUGAUUUUAACUCAUGCCAUACAACAUAAUUUCUAUAUAUAUCAUAGUUAGCCAUUAUCUCACAGUUUUCAUUUCAGUUUGCGAAACCCCACUAACUAACUCAUUAUACCAAAAUCUUUAUAUUACAAACAUAAUAUAAAUAAAUUGUAAUACCUUUGUUUGCUUUGAAUUCUUGUUAACUGUUGAUCCUAAACUUCACAGCCCAACGAAUAUCAGAGCUUCAAUUGCUAAUCAUUUCCUUCUGCUAACCGAGCAAAAAUAUUGGGGAUUGUAAUGAAACAACUCAGUUGUGUUUGGGCAGAGAGGUGUCCAGGUAAUGGAUUUGGCAAGGAGCAGAAUCAGAUGGAAGGAAAGAGAAAAAAUAGAGAGACCAUUUGAAAUCCUUGCCUUAAGAUGUAUUACUUCUAAUUCAUCACUGCAUAGCUUAACUAAGUAGGCUAGUCUACUAGAAUAAAGGACUUCCUGCUCCUACUUCACUCCUCAAUGCUUUAGCCAGCUCAUGCUUCUCUUCUCUGAGUGCUACAGCUCAUGCUAAAUUUUUUUUUUAAAUUGUUUUAUCUGUUAAGCUUUAAUUUAAGGCUGUGUUUGGCAAGAAUAAACAAUUAC
Molecule: long non-coding RNA, 3950 nt
Filed under: Panax ginseng (ginseng)
Lineage: Eukaryota; Viridiplantae; Streptophyta; Magnoliopsida; Apiales; Araliaceae
Description: long non-coding RNA (PGIN_LNC011821)
Source: RNAcentral